RNAcentral lists this ribosomal RNA (308 nucleotides) under uncultured eukaryote. RNAcentral's name for it is "SSU rRNA". It matches the Rfam family "Eukaryotic small subunit ribosomal RNA", at positions 111 to 414 of the family's 1831-position model. The record is from RNAcentral.
AAUAAUUUAUUUGAUGGUCACUUACUACAUGGAUAACUGUAGUAAUUCUAGAGCUAAUACAUGCGUAAAAUCUCGACUCUAGCGGGGAGAGAUGUAUUUAUUAGAUAAAAAACCAAUGCGGGUUCUGCCCGGUUUUGUGGUGAAUCAUAGUAACUUUUCGAAGCGCAUGGCUUCACGCUAGCGCUAGUUCAUUCAAAUUUCUGCCCUAUCAGCUUUCGACGGUAGUGUAGUGGACUACCGUGGCAUUAACGGGUAACGGAGAAUUAGGGUUCGAUUCCGGAGAGGGAGCCUGAGAAACGGCUACCACA